GAUGAAGAACGCAGCGAAAUGCGAUAAGUAAUGUGAAUUGCAGAAUUCAGUGAAUCAUCGAAUCUUUGAACGCACCUUGCGCUCCUUGGUAUUCCGAGGAGCAUGCCUGUUUGAGUGUCAUUAAUAUAUCAACCUUCUCUUUUUUGAGUUGUUUGGAUGUGGGGGUUUGCUGGCCUCUUAAAUGAUUCAGCUCCCCUGAAAUGCAUUAGCAGAACAACCUGUUCAUUGGCGUGAUAAUUAUCUAUGCUAUAGAAUGUGAGGGCAGUUCAGCUUUCUAACCGUCCUUGGACAAUUCAUCAUUAAUGUGACCUCAAAUCAGGUAGGACUACCCGCUGAACUUAAGCAUAUCAAUAAGCGGAGGA
RNAcentral lists this unclassified non-coding RNA (362 nucleotides) under soil metagenome. RNAcentral's name for it is "partial contains 5.8S ribosomal RNA, internal transcribed spacer 2, and large subunit ribosomal RNA". The stretch from base 1 to 120 matches the Rfam family "5.8S ribosomal RNA", at positions 35 to 154 of the family's 154-position model. The record is from RNAcentral.